UGGAAGUAAAAAGUCGUAACAAGGUCUCCGUUGGUGAACCAGCGGAGGGAUCAUUACCGAGUUUACAACUCCCAAACCCAAUGUGAACGUUACCAAACUGUUGCCUCGGCGGGAUCUCUGCCCCGGGUGCGUCGCAGCCCCGGACCAAGGCGCCCGCCGGAGGACCAACCAAAACUCUUAUUGUAUACCCCCUCGCGGGUUUUUUUAUAAUCUGAGCCUUCUCGGCGCCUCUCGUAGGCGUUUCGAAAAUGAAUCAAAACUUUCAACAACGGAUCUCUUGGUUCUGGCAUCGAUGAAGAACGCAGCGAAAUGCGAUAAGUAAUGUGAAUUGCAGAAUUCAGUGAAUCAUCGAAUCUUUGAACGCACAUUGCGCCCGCCAGUAUUCUGGCGGGCAUGCCUGUCCGAGCGUCAUUUCAACCCUCGAACCCCUCCGGGGGGUCGGCGUUGGGGAUCGGCCCUCCCUUAGCGGGUGGCCGUCUCCGAAAUACAGUGGCGGUCUCGCCGCAGCCUCUCCUGCGCAGUAGUUUGCACACUCGCAUCGGGAGCGCGGCGCGUCCACAGCCGUUAAACACCCAACUUCUGAAAUGUUGACCUCGGAUCAGGUAGGAAUACCCGCUGAACUUAAGCAUAUCAAUAAGCGGAGGAA
RNAcentral lists this ribosomal RNA (646 nucleotides) under fungal sp. ARIZ B009. Its description in RNAcentral is "eukaryotic LSU rRNA". The stretch from base 258 to 411 matches the Rfam family "5.8S ribosomal RNA". Lineage: Eukaryota; Fungi. The record is from RNAcentral.